GGAUUGUAGCUCAGUGGUAUAGCGCUUGCCUUGCAUGCAUGAGGCCCUGGGUUCGAUCCUCAGUACCA
Molecule: transfer RNA, 68 nt
Filed under: Marmota monax (woodchuck)
Lineage: Eukaryota; Metazoa; Chordata; Mammalia; Rodentia; Sciuridae
Description: tRNA.Ala
Rfam family: tRNA (bases 5-65)
About the family: Transfer RNA (tRNA) molecules are approximately 80 nucleotides in length. Their secondary structure includes four short double-helical elements and three loops (D, anti-codon, and T loops). Further hydrogen bonds mediate the characteristic L-shaped molecular structure. tRNAs have two regions of fundamental functional importance: the anti-codon, which is responsible for specific mRNA codon recognition, and the 3' end, to which the tRNAs corresponding amino acid is attached (by aminoacyl-tRNA synthetases). tRNAs cope with the degeneracy of the genetic code in two manners: having more than one tRNA (with a specific anti-codon) for a particular amino acid; and 'wobble' base-pairing, i.e. permitting non-standard base-pairing at the 3rd anti-codon position.
Source: RNAcentral